Cervus elaphus (red deer) is the source of this 73-nucleotide non-coding RNA. NCBI's taxonomy places the organism in Eukaryota, Metazoa, Chordata, Mammalia, Artiodactyla, Cervidae. The record is from the annotation of a RefSeq genome assembly.
UCCCUGAUGAUCCAGUGGUUAAGAUUUGGUGCUUUCACUGCUGUGGGCCCAGGUUCAAUCCCUGGUUGGGGAA